This 2090-nucleotide long non-coding RNA is filed under the name Phocoena sinus (vaquita). Its description in RNAcentral is "lncRNA (ENSPSNG00000014697.1)". The record is from RNAcentral. Lineage: Eukaryota; Metazoa; Chordata; Mammalia; Artiodactyla; Phocoenidae.
GGUUGAAGUGGGGGCUGGGGGCUGGGAGCAUGCAGCCACUCAUGGGGGCACCGCAGGCGCUGCCGCUGCCGCGGGAGACCGAGCAGAAGCACCUCGGCUGUGGCCUGUCCCGAGCCUUCCUGCCCCUCACUUCCGGGAGGAGGGGCCCGGGAGUAGCAAAGUGACCACCAGGCGGAAACGACAUUGCCUGCUUUCGCCCUUCACUUUGAACUUGGAGAUACAGGGCCUCCCCUGCACCUGCUGGGUCUCUGGGGCCUUGGGCAUCUGGGACACGGGCGGUAGUGGUGUCUUCAAGGCAGGCUGCGGUGUGCAGGUCACCUUGCUGUUGGGUUUCAACAGCGACUUGCUGGGCAUUUAUCUGGAAAAGAAGACGACUUCAGAGAAAAGCGAAGUAGCAGGAAUUAACAGCGUGUAAGCCAAUCACUCAUACUGCAAAACAAACUCACAGAAAAAGAGAUCAGGUUUGUCAUUACCAGAAGCAGGGGGAUUGGAUGAGACGGUCGAAAGGUACAAACUUCCCUUUAUUAGAUAAAUAAGUAUUAGGAAUGUAAUGUACAACAUGACAAAUAUAACACUGCUGUAGGUUACACGUGAUAUGUAUGAGAGCUGUUAAGAGUAAAUCCUGAGUUCUCACCACAAGGACAUUUUUUUCCUAUUUAAUGUUCAAUCUGUGUGGGACGGCGGACGCUCGUUAAACUUACUGUGAUGAUCACUCCAUGAUGUGUAAGUCAGAUCUUUACGCUGCACACCUUAGACGUAUAUAGUGCUGUAUGUCAGUGAUACCCCAAUAAAACUGGGAGAAAUAAGAAGCAAAGAGUGAAGGGGGCGCGAACGUGGCAGACCAGCCUCGCACGCAUUCCUGCUGCCACCGCACACACGGCAGGGUGGGCACAGAUGCUCUGUGCUGGCAGGAACUGAGCUCACAAAGGCUCCAGGGGGACCUCAGACCCCGGAACUGCAUCCCCCCGAGGGUUAGGACUGAGCAGGGCCGGGCCGGGACCCACCGGUCCAGCAGCUGUGCUGGUCGUCCGACGGCCCUGGGAUGGCUGUUCGGCCCUCCUGGGGGGACCCCUCGGCCAGGCCGGCCCACGGGCACCGAGGCACGCAGAUGACAGCGUGGCCUUGGUGCAACCAUUCUGCUGCCCUCGCUCCCCUGGGCACGCGGGGCAAGGAUGGGGAGCGAGGCACCUGCAGGUCUCGUCACCCAGGAAAGCCCCAGGUGCCGCCUCUCAGAAGGCUGGAGGGGAAGUGCCAUUCGCUGGUGCAGCGAAGCCUCCCUCCUGCUGAAGAGCAGUCUAGACUGUGCCCACCGGUGCUCCUGGGAGCGUUCCCUGGCAAGUGUGUAAGGGGGUGCUGUGGCCUGCCAAGCUUCUCCUCCCCCGGGCACAUCGACGCCUUCUGGUACAAGAGACAGAGGAGGAGGGUGGCGAGGCCACAGCCGCAGCUCUGGACACAUGUGCCGUGUCUGCGAACCCGCACCCCCAGAGCAUCACGACAGAGCCAUGAAAAGGCAAAUAAGGGGACUGUCAGGUACCAUCCAAUACUCCGUCUACGACUGGAUGCUGCCCAUCACCCCACACUCCUCUCUGUGAAUUCCUAUUCCCGCUCCAUUCCCCCGCACAGAUCUAAUGUAUUUUAUGCUUGGAAUUAUUUUAUAGACCCCCGAUCGUGCGUCCCUGCAAUAGAAAUGUGCUCCAGAAUUGACCACAAGGCUCUAAGUGUUCAAAAAUAAUAAUCUUCUGGCCGCUGAGCCUGCGCGUCCGGAGCCUGUGCCCCGCAACGGGAGAGGCCACGACAGUGAGAGGCCCGCGUACCGCAAAAAAAAAAAAAAUAAUAAUCUUCUGGGUUGAGAAAUCGGUACAAUUAUUAUUGGUAUGCAAGUUAGCAAAAUGACAAAUGUAUUACAGUUAUGGUAAAUAAUUACUAAACAUAAAAAGUAAAAUUUAAUAGAUGGAGAGGGCUAACCUGUUUUCUUCAGUUAGUUCCUAUGCCCACAAGGCUCAGCGUCAACUCUAUUCUUAUUUUUCCAAUUUAUAAAUCAAAACACUGAAAAAAAUCCCAUUCCCAUAAAUAAACUGAUGGCACCAGAG